CCCCAGUCACUUCUCUGUCUGCUUUUGUCUGAAGCCACCAACACCACCACCCCAACCCACAGGCUCCUCCUGCUGCUCCCCUCCAAGAUCCCUGAGGACUGAUGCCCAGAGGCAGGAACAGAUGUAGGAAUUCCAGGAUGCAUUAUGCCUCAGGAGGCUGAGGCAGGAGAAUCACUUGAACUCAGGAGGCGGAGGUUGUAGUGAGCCGAGAUUGCAUCACUGCACUCCAGCCUGGGCCACAGAGUGAGACUGUCUCUCAAGAAAAUGAAAAAGAAAGAUAGAGAGAGAGAGAGAAAAAGAAAGAAAGAAAGAAAGAAAGAGAGAGAGAGAGAGAAAGAAAGAAAGAGAAAGAAAGAAGGAAAGAAAGAAAGGGAGAAAGCAUUGUGUGAAGAUGAGGGAAAGAAGAAAAGAAAGGAAAGAAAAGAAAGAGAAAGAAAGAAAGAAAAAGAGAAAGAAAAAAAGAAAAGAGAAAGAGACAAAAGAAAAGAAGAAAAGAAAGAAGAGAGCGAGAGGAAGGAAGGAAUUGUGUGGAGAUGAGUGAAAGCAGGCAGAAAGAUAGCGGUCAGCCUGUGGUCCCUCCUGGCUGCCCCCAUAGUGGGAAGAUGUCCAUGUCCUAAUCCCCAGAACUGUGACUAUGCUAUACUACAUGGCAAGGGAGGAUCAAGGGUGCAGAUUGAAUUAGAUUGCUAAUCAGCCUAACUUUUUUUUAUUGUUGAGAUAGGGUCUCAUUCUGUCAUCCAGGCUGAAGUGCAAUAGGGGGAUCAUAGCUCACUGCAGCCUUGAACUCCCAGGCUCAAGUGAUUCUCCCACCUCAGCCUUCCAAAUAACUGGGACCACAGGCAUGAGCCACCAUGCCCAGAGCAGUCUCUGUGGAAACUGCUGAGCCACAUGGUCAAGCACCACAGCCAGCCAAGACGCUGCAAACCAAGCUGGAGGUUUCGGGGGUUUCCAGUCUUUUUUUUUUUUUUUUUUAAGUAUCAAACACCAUAAAAUUCCCAUCACUGUUCUGGAGACACAGACGUAAAUGGAAAAUGGAUUCCUGUUCUGGGAGCACAGUCAUUUGAACGCCUGCCCAGAAGGGAGAGGGAAAGGUGACAUCUUUGCAUUCUGAAUGGGGACAAGUGGCCACUUUCCCUGCAGAGCCUGGGUAGGAGCCCCGCCCCACUCAGGGAGGUGAUGGAUGAGCUAAGACUGCAGGAAUCCUCUGUCUGCGGUUUGAGAAUGCCCCAUGCCCACAUUGGGGUCCAGCUUUCGUGGGGAAGCUGGAGAAGAUGGAAGAGAAAAGAGUGUUCUAUUGGGGUUGGGAGACAUGGCUGUAAUGUCAGAUGCUGCUGACUGUAGGCUGCCCACACACAACUGAGACUGGGAGCUGGCUCCAGAAAUUAAUCAGAUUCCAGCCAGAGCUCAAGACAGGCAAGAGGAUUGCUGGGGAGAAGGAAGGAGCAGAGCUGUGGGAAGACUAUGCUGACGAUGGCAGUGUCGGCCCAAUCAUCAGUGACACUUGCCAUCGGGUCCCUUCCUAGUGACACUGAAAUGGAAUGCACAGGAAGUCAGUGGGGGGCACUGGUCUCCCUCCAAGGUCACUUUUGUCACAGGUACCUGGGGGAAGACGUGAAUCCAGAAACGUACAGGCCGGGACCAGCCCCCAAAUAUCAAGGAUUAGGGAGGGACAUGUUGAAACUAGGGCUAUGGGCUGGACACAGUAGCUCACGCCUGUAAUUCCAGUACUUUGGGAGGUCUAGCUGGACAGAUCACCUGAGGUCAGGAGUGUGAGACCAGCCUGGCCAACAUAGAGAAACCCCGUCUCUACUAAAAAUACAAAAAUUAGCUGAACAGGGUGACGCACCUGUGUAGUCCCAGUUACUAGGGAGGCUCUGGGACAAGAAUCGCUUGAACCCAGGAGGUGGAGGCUGCAGUGAGCCAAGAUCAUGCCACUGCACUCCAGCCUGGGCAACAGAAUGAGACUGUCUCAAAAAAAAAAAAAAGGAAACUAGGGCUGGGGAAUAGGUCAGUCUUUCUCCCAGGAGGAGUGAGUGAGGCAGGAGGAGGUUGGGAAGGUUGGCCACUGUGUGAUUAUGUGAAUUGCAGCUACAGUUGUCCCGAUAAUAUCAGCUGAUGGGAGUCCAGGGACCCACAAGAGUUGUCUCUGAAGUCAUGGUGGCUAGGGUAGGGGGAAUCAGCUUGCUUGAUGGGUAGAUGACAAGCUGAUACUUGGCUUUAAGAGUAAAGUUCCUCGGCUGGGAGAAGUGGCUUACGCCUAUAAUCCCAGCACUUUGGGAGGCCGAGGUGGGUAGAUCACCUGAGGUCAGGAGUUCGAGACCAGCCUGACCAACAUGGUGAACCCUAUCUCUACUAAAAUAUAAAAAUUAGCCAGGCGUGGUGGCAGGCGCCUGUAAUCUCAGCUACUCAGGAGGCUGAGGCAGGAGAAUCACUUGAACCCAGGAGGUAGAGGUUGCAUUGAGCCAAGAUCAUGCCACUGUGCUCCAACCUGUACAAGACGGAGCAAAACUCCAUCUCAAAAAAAAAAAAAGCAAAAAAGGGUAAAGUCUCUCAAAGCCAGCGAGUUUGGUGUAGCAGUCAGAAAGUGUCAGGUUAUGCUGCAGUAACAAACAGUCCUAAAGGCUAUAUGGCUUACAACAGCAAAGGUGUAUUUCUUGCUCAUGCCGCUUGCCCAUUUCAAUGUCUGUGCUCUCAUCCAUGCCAUGUUCACUCUGGGACCUGGGCUGGCCAAACCACCCCCGUCUGGGACAUUGCCAGUCUCAUGGUGGUAGAGGGUGACAGAUGGCAAAACCACCAGCUGGCUCUUGAAGCUUCUUUCCAGAGACGAUGUGCGUCCCUUCCACCCAAAUUUUAUUGGCCAAAGCAAGUCACAAGGUCGCCCUGGAUAUAAAAUACUAUCAGAGAGAGGCACUGCCAGUCAGACAUCAAGCGUGAUAUCAGCGAGACAGGGAGGUAUGAUCUACCCAAGGGAGAGAAAGCAAAUAUUUUCAACAAUAACACAAUCUACCACAGCUGGGAUCCCAGCAGGGGUAUGGUUUAUGCAAAUCAAGAUCCCAUCAAGCAGGAUCAGACCCCUGGUGGGGCCUUGUGUGCCACACAAAGAGAUCUCGCCACUGCACUCCAGCCCAGGUGGGCGACAGAGUGAGACUGUGUCUCAAAAAAUAAAAAUAAAUAAAAUUUAAAAACCACCUAAAAAUUCCAAAGGAAAAUUUAGGAGACUAUAUGUAUAAUUUGGGAGCUGAGGAGACUAUUUUAAUCAAAACAAGAAAGCUGAAAGCUGUAAAAAUAAAAUUACACAUAUCCUACUACAUUAAAAAGUAACAUUUUGUGGGGGAAAGUUAUCAAAACAAUACAAAGUAGUGGCAGAAUUGUUUGCAAUCUGAAUGACAGACAAAGGGUUAAUAUAUGUAAUAUACAAACAGCAUUUACAAAUGUAUAUUUUAAAAACACACUGUUCAACCUGAUAUUCAUGGACAUUGUAUAUUAAAUGCCUCUUAAGAUACUUUCAGGAUCACAGUAUAAUUUUAUUGGGUUUUGGAGUCCUAUAGUAUGUUUAUGAUACUGGAAUCAUAGGCAAAAUGUUUUUCAAUAAAUUUUUUCAAACUUCUGUUUUCGGCCAAGCAUGGUGGCUCACGUCUGUAAUUCCAGCACUUUGGGAGGCCGAGAUGGGUGGAUCACUUGAAGUCAGGAGUUCAAGACCAGCCUGGUCAAUAUGGCGAAACCCCCGUCUCUACUAAAAAUACAAGAAUUAGCCAGAGUCUGGUGCAUCUGAAAGUUCUGUGAACACUAGCCUGCCACAUUCAGUGGAUCUGGAGGCAACUAUCGCCCUCCUAUAAAUACCAAGGGUGCCACUGGCCUGCUCCUUACACCAGACAGUAAACAGUCACCAAGAGCCUGAUUGAAGCUUUGGGACAAAACAAUGAAACCAAAAGAUGGAUUUGCUGAGUAGCGGAGACCGUAAACUGCUACUCUCAGUUUAUUUAUUUAUUUAUUUUUAAUUUUUUUUUUUUUUUGAGAUGGAGUCUCACUCUGC
RNAcentral lists this long non-coding RNA (4033 nucleotides) under Homo sapiens (human). Its description in RNAcentral is "HSALNT0342340". The record is from RNAcentral. Lineage: Eukaryota; Metazoa; Chordata; Mammalia; Primates; Hominidae.